AGGCAUUAAUUGUAUUUUCCUAUUCUAAUUAGCUCCUUGUAAUUAGUUUCCUAUUUUUUAGUUUCCUAUUUAGGUAUGAGUCUUUGUAUAUAAAUAGAAGCCUUGUAUAUCAUUUUUAUCAAGAAAUACAUAGAAAAUUCUCUCAAAAUAUCAGUGUCUUUCAACAUGGUAUCAGAGCAUUUGAUUCACUAGAGCAGGCUUCAGUACUAUCCAUGAGACUGUUCAUGCGCACUGUUCAUGCACACUGUUCACUGUCACUAUUCAUGGGUACCGUUCAUAGCAUGUGGACCUUUUUUGGGCUUUUUCUAACUGCUCCUUGUGUGUCGCACCUCUACUCACCCCUUGUCCUUUACUUGAUCACAAGCAAAUAUGUCUGAAAUAGUAGAUUUUUCUAAAAGAAUAAAUGAUAUUGGGAUUUUUGCCAACGAAGAAGUUCAAUCCCUAAAACGUUUGUUGUCUCAGCUUGAAUCUCAAUUUUCCACAGUUGUCUCUUCCAAUUUUAUCAAAUCAGGUGAUGAUUUUCUUGCCAAUCUUGAAAAAUCUUGUUAGGUUAUAGAUUCUAGAGCAAACAAGCAUAUGACAAACUCUUCAAAUAUAUUCUGUACCUAUUCCCCAUGCUCAAGAAAAGGAAAAGUUCGUAUAGCGAACAAUUCCUUAACCCAAUUUCUAACAUAGAUUCUACUACAUGCACUCCCAAUAUAAAUCUCAACUCAUUUCUUCAUGUUCCUAAUUUUCUUAUUAAUUUUUUAUCUGUCAAUUCCAUUUCCCAGGCCCUUAAUUGCAAAAUUGAAUUUUUUUCUACUCGUUGCAUAUUUUAGGAUUUGAGAACAGAGAAAACAUUGACAGUGGUUGAUUAUGAGAUGGUUUGUAUCUAUUAGAUAAUGAAUGUGGUCUCUCAAAUCCUAGAGCAACCAGGCUUUGUUAGAAAAGUUUACGAGUACUAAUGAAAAGAUUAUCCAAUGACAUAGAAGAUUAAAACAUCCAUAUUUUUCUACUCUAGGAAGGUUAUAGGAAGGUUAUAUCCUAAUUUGUUUAAGAAUUGCAACUCAGAUUUACUAGUUUGUAAUGCUUGUGAAUUUACUAAACACACUAGAUAGUCUUAUCCUUUUAUAAAUAACAAAAGGAUGAUUUCUUUUAUAACUAUUCAUUAUGAGGUUGAGGGCCCUACUCAAACAGUUUCUUUGUUUGGUUGUAGAUGGUUUAUCACUUUUAUUGACUGUUGCACUAAGCUGACAUGAGUUUAUUUAAUGAAAGCAAGAAGUUAAGUGUUUUCUUGCUUUCAAUAGUGUCACAAAAUGAUUUGCACACAGUUUAAUGCUAAGAUUAAAAUCUUAAGAAUUGAUAAUGGCAUAAAAUAUAUUAAUGGUGUUUUUCGUGCUUAUUUGGAUUCAAAUGAUAUAGUGCAUCAAACUAAUUGUGUCAAGACUAGUGAACAAAAUGGGGUGUCUGAAAGAAAAAAUAGAUAUUUAUUGGAGGUGGCUCAAUCUUUUAUGUUUACUAUGAAUCUACCUACAUUUUAUUGGGGGGAUGCAACUCUUGCUGCAACAUAUUUUAUCAAUAGAAUGCCUCUAAAGAGCCUAAAAACAUGGAACUUUAAAAGCCCUUUAGAGGUUUUACAAGGCCAUAAUUUUUAUACUGUUCUUCCAAAAAUUUUUAGAUGUAUCCGUUUUGUCCACAAAACAAUUAUUGGAAAGUUAGAACCUAGAGCUCUUAAAUGUAUGUUUGUAGGUUAUUCCGGUACUCAAA
This 1746-nucleotide unclassified non-coding RNA is filed under the name Hevea brasiliensis (rubber tree). Lineage: Eukaryota; Viridiplantae; Streptophyta; Magnoliopsida; Malpighiales; Euphorbiaceae. The record is from RNAcentral.